GGGUAAACCUGCGAAACUCGAAUGAACGAACGGAGAGAUUCAUCGUCAUUCCGCGGCGCGUCGUGCGUCGUUUCGAUACUGUCCCCCUCGGGGGUCGGUACGGACGACGUCGACAGCGUCCACGGACGGCGUGCACUUCUCUCUUAGUAAGACAUCGCGACCCGUUCGAUGUACGUCUACGCCCCGCACGGGAGCCCGGCGGCACUCGCUGCCGUCGGACCGUACGGCGGCCGACCUACUGUCGGACGGUAUAAAGAUUUGAAUCGCGCACGCGCUUCGGCGCGUCCGGCACGACGCAAUAUGUCGCCGCACUGCGGUCCUGCCUCGCGGCGGUUCGCGGUGCGGUUGUGUAUGUUGUCGCAGCCGUUUGGUCUCGGACUGUGCGCGUCUCGGUCUGCGAUGAUUCAGUUUCGGGCACUCGCAGGACCCGUCUUGAAACACGGACCAAGGAGUCUAGCAUGUGUGCGAGUCAUUAAGAUUUGAAAACUGAAAGGCGCAACGAAAGUGAAGGUGUGUGCUCGCCACGCGCUCAGGGAGGAUGGGGUGCGAUCUCGGUCGUACUCUCGCACUGCCCGAGGCGUCUCGUUUCCAAUUUGUGAAUGCAGCGCGCUCUGAGCACAGAUGCUGGGACCGAAAG
This 637-nucleotide ribosomal RNA is filed under the name Phyllonorycter sorbi. RNAcentral's name for it is "eukaryotic LSU rRNA". It matches the Rfam family "Eukaryotic large subunit ribosomal RNA", at positions 413 to 822 of the family's 3401-position model. The record is from RNAcentral. Lineage: Eukaryota; Metazoa; Arthropoda; Insecta; Lepidoptera; Gracillariidae.